RNAcentral lists this long non-coding RNA (44274 nucleotides) under Phoenix dactylifera (date palm). RNAcentral describes it as "long non-coding RNA (PDAC_LNC002189)". Lineage: Eukaryota; Viridiplantae; Streptophyta; Magnoliopsida; Arecales; Arecaceae. The record is from RNAcentral.
GUGGUUCCAUUAUUCUGCUUUGAAUUUAUUGGAGCUGUAGACUUAGCUAAACUGCAAGUUGUUUCUGUUUGUUUCAUUAAUGUUGGACACACGUUUGUGACACUCAACCUUGUUUAGCUGUCCUACAGACACUUUUGCUCAGCAGUUAAGAAGGCAUUUUUGUCUUUGACUACUCCAUCUUCCUUUAUGCACAUUAAAAUAGCUGCGUUCAAUCAGGAUGAAACCAGCAGAAGAAAACAAAUUAUACGUGUAUAUGUGAAUAUAGUUAAAAACAAUGACAAAUACAAGCUCCAGGUUAGUAUUGUUGUCACUAACAUGAUGGAGGUUGAUUUUUAUAAUUAGCCGACGGUCAUUGGCUGUUUGGUUAUACAAGGUGAAGUUUAAAUGUGGUGGGAAAGAUAAUUUCCUUCAAGCGGCCUAUUUCAGAUAGUUGAACAUCUAUCUGAUGCACACCUCUGUUUUAAUUGAACUCUUUUAGCAUAAAUGCUGGAUUAGCGAAUAGCACGAGCACGAAUAGCAUCCACAGGAGGGGCACUGAAAUUGUCAUUAUAUUGUUUGACCAAAUGAUGGAGAAAUACACAAGACAUAGAUGGUAGUGAAAAGAAGGGGUUUGAGGAAACUAGCUAUGAUGGUGCUAAAUGAUAAUUAAGUUCAUACCAAACAAAAAGAUGAUUAAUUAUGACUGUGGUUUCAAACUUCUAGUUAAUAUGCUUAAGCCUAUUAGAAAAUGGAGACAACAAAUGGUUGAUGAUUGCAUGACUUGUUUGGCAUUUGUAGAUUGGGGGAUUCUGUUGAGGUGAAAAAUUGCUUUCUGUUUUUGUAAAUAUUUAUUUGAGCCUAUGGGCUUCAUUUUUUACAAUUUAAAAAGUUCAUGCAUUCAUCAUUACAUUCUUUAGUUCUCCACUUAUUUGUUCCACAAUGUUAUGCUAGAUAACAUGGUAUAUAUCAAAACUUUCUUUGGCAUAUUGAAAAGGGCUGUCGGAAUAGUUGAAUGGUUUAGAUUUGGGUUAUGGGUUUGUUAAUGUUCUGCUAGAGUUUAAAAAUGAAAGGGGAUGAAAUUAAACUUGAAUUCAACAGGUCCAACUCAAACUUAGAUUCAGACCCCAUAUUUACAGGCUGAAUCUAGUUCUGGAUCCACAUGAUUCUGGUGCAUGUACAGUAUAGUAUAGAAAAUGACUGAAUGAAGUUUAUUUUUAUCCAGUAUUUUAGGAACCUAAUUCCCAAAUGCUAUGACAUCUUGCCACCCAAAUUUGAGUUUUAAUCUUGAGAAAAUGUAUUCAAUGCAAUGGACACCAAUGUGCAAUCCUCUCCUCUCUUGAUGCAAUAACAAUGAAGAAAUAAAGCCAAAAGUAAUCUAGAUAAGCCACAUGUACAUCUAAUUCUUUGUAAUGAUUGAUUUCAAUUGGUUACUUCAGAGUUGGAUGAAAUUAGUUGGUUUUAGCUGAAUAACUGAGGCCGAUCAACAGAUCGACAUCGGAUAGAUCUCAAUUUGGUUUUAGCUGGAACACAAAACCAUGGACAGAAGGCUGCUUUAGCUCUUGCAUGGGUAAAUCAUCCUGAAUCCACAUGCAUUCCACUUUCCCAAUAAUUCCAACAUUUAUAUAGAGGAAUUAUUAUGGUGCUCAUGUUGAUUUCUAAGAUCUGUGUAAAUAGGGAACUUCUUUCACCAAAAAUUGACUAUUAUGAUUGUUUUCUUGAAAUCUACAAUGUUUAGUUAAUUUAACAUCAAUCGUCCCAUUAUAUUUCUGAAAGUUCAUAUCUUUUAAGUUAUAAGUCAGAUUGAGUGAUUGAUUUUAGUUUGAAUGUCUUAAAAACUCGGAUUUGGAAUGCUAUGGCUCUGAAUAACAGAAUAUGAUGGUCAUCCCACAGUUGGUACUUCUCUUGAUUAAUGUUUUCCUCUCAGCAGGUAUUAUUUGACAAUUCAUUGAAGCACCUACUCAACUGUGCUGAUAAACUCUUUUGUGAAUCUGUUAAUGAAAAUUAUAGUGAUCAGCCCUCCAAGUCCAAUCAUAAAGAGAAAGUUGCAGUGCGCCGCAAAUCCAAGCGGAAAGCAGCUCUAGAUGGCACAUCAAUCCCAACCAAAGGUAGCUAGAGACAUAAUAUAUUCAUUCAGUUGAAACUCAAAAGAAGAGAAUAUAUGACUAUUUAACAAAUAAAUGAAUGAUAAUCUGCAUUUUUCCAAGUGAAUAAGAGAGAGAGUUAUCACCAAGUCUGACAUGAGAAAGCCAUUUUUCUUAAUGAUAAAUUGUCCGAAAGUUCCAGUUAUACCAUUUUCAGAGUUAAUUAAUUGUUUUUUUUUAAAAAAUUGAUGAACAAGCAGGAAAAACCCACCUAACAAUCAACGGAGAACUAUUGAACUGAUUUGACAUCUUUUUCCACCAGUUUUUCCAUUUUCACUAUUGCAGGUUCUGUAAUCUCUUUUUUUCCCCUUGUACCUCCUGUAGGUGCUGAACUCAAAACUGAUAUUCCCGAAGCUAGAAGGCUACAAAAUAUGAUGAAAUUGGUCACAUCAAUUCUUCAGUUUAUUGUUGAUGCUGCAACCAUGAGCCUUGUUAACCAAAACCAAGCAAGGUGUUUAAUGUUUGCAUCAUCUUAUGCUAGACAUGUUGUCUCAGCCAUUGGAAGGCAUCGACAGCAAAAGGCACCAUUAAAGGAUGAUGAUCUAAAAGAGAUACUUACAUAUCUAAAAAGCUCCUUCACUUAUGCAGCCAAGUUACUCCAUUUGGUGCUCAGAGACUCUAGCGAAACUUCAGCACCACCACCAGAAGCAUUCUACCUUGCCAAUGAUCUUCUUGACCUUAUCACAUCCAUCGAAUCAUAUCCAGGCUUAAGUUAUGCAAUCCAUAUUGCUUCUGUUGCCAAGCCAUGGCUGCCUGUUCUUAUACUAGGUUUAGGCUGCAACAAACUGAUUAAGGUAACAGAGAAAGGUGGCGCUUCAAACUUAGGUGAUAUUAUUGGGCUUAAUUUUCCAGUAUGGCUUUCUGUUCUGGGAAAGACUGAGUUAUAUGCAGUUAACGAAACUGGACAAGAUGUGGAGGGCAAUCAUCUUCCUACAUUGGAGGCUUCAGUAUUUAGAAAGCUUAUAGAGAGGUUGGUGAUCCUGCUAAAGAAGGGAAGCCCAGAAAUAUUGGAUGCUGUAGGCUGUGUCUUCUUGGCAGGUCUGGAGGUUGGGCUGGAAAAGGCAGACUUUGACUUGGUCUUAGGCCUGCUCCAUUUUACAUGUGUGAAGUUGUUGGAUAAAGAAAAUGCUUGCUUGGAAGAACUUAAACUUAUGUCCAGCUCUUUACAAGAGAUCUAUCUAAAGAUAGAGAGAGACCUUCAGGGCCAUCACAGCAUUGAUGAUGGAAGGCACCAGUUAGAAAGUGCCAGAACACUAAUCAGAUCUGUUUUGACUCAUUCUAGAUGAAGAGCUGCUGCCAUCAUGAUGACAACAUAAAACUACUGGAGUAGAAGUGUCAAAUAUUAAGCUUUUGGGCUGAAAACUUGGUGGUCCUGCCUCAAGAGUAGAGGGAAAGAGCAAAACUUGAGGUCUUGUGAGAGUAACAACAUUUGCAAAGGUAAUGAAGCACUUUAGUAGUUGUACAGCUGAUCCAUAUAUACUUUAAUCAAGUUGACUGUCAUAUGUUACACAUGAUAUAUCAGGAAUGGCAGUUUCUGAUUCCAAAACCAUACAGGUUCAUUCCAUACUAUCUGCAGCUUUCACAUUAGGAUGCUUAAAAGGGAGAACUCGUUAUUUUCUUGUGUGGCUAGUGUCUGAUUGCAGCUCUGCAGCUUUAAUCUAAAUCAACUGUUUUUUUGGUACGAAUGUAAAUCAACAUUCACAUAUGCAUGUUUUAGCAACCUCUCCCUGUGUUGGUUAUUUGUAGAUAAGAUGAUUUAGCAGGGGCAAGCCGUUUGACUAUAUCUUCUAUUGUCAAUGUGGAUAGAUUUAUUUUAGUCACUGCAAUAAGUCUUGAUCAAUAUUUUCUCUCUUUUGGUGUGGGGUUUAGAAUUCUGAAUCAACAUUCAAAUUUUUCAGAUUUUACAUUACUUCUGAUGUUGGUCAUUUGUAGAUAAGGUGAUUUAGCAGGCUGGUAAAAAGAGGUGUGCUGGAUUGUAUCUUCUUUUAUCCAUCUGGAAAGAUUUAUUUUAGUCACUGCAGUAAGUCUUGACAGAGCAUUCUGUGUUAUGAUAUCAGAAUUAAAUUCCUACAUGUUUGUUUGUUAAAAUAUAAGUUCAGCAAACUGCUGACUACAGUUCAUGAUUGAAUCACGAGAUAAUUCACAUGGUAGAGCUAAGAAAAUGAACUUUCAUCUCUCCUCACAGAACCCCUGGAAGAAUUUCGUUUUUCUUCGUACUUUUUCAUUUUUAUUUGGGGUGCACUGUUUCUAGAGGGCUUUAAAUGAAACUUUUACGCUCUCGCGGCACCCUAGAGAAUCUCUGCAAGUUUGUGGGGUCUGGAAGGGCCAUAUCGAGGCUUUCUUAAUAGCUCAAAUAAAAUGAAAAAUAUGGCCGACUUUUUCUAUAGUGAAAAUAUCCACGAUAACACUCUUUAAUUCAAGCACCUUCUUCUAACUCGUAACAGCCGAACUAAUGAAAUGUUAAAAAAGAGGAUGACAUGCCUGAAUUGGGAGCAUAUAUACACUUGAAAUGAUUCAUUGAACCACUCGUUGGAAUGUAUCAUUGUUGGUAUCUGGCCCUGAGUUUUUACUCUCUUGGAAUCUUCCUUCAUGUCCCAAAUACAAGUCUAACAGGUUCUGGCAAUGCAAUUAACAGAGGUUUCAUGUCCAGUAUAACAUUAGUUGGCUUUAUCUCACAAAGGCAUCCCAGUUUUGCUCAUAAGCCAACAUAAUCCCAUCUUACAGCCAAUAAUGACUGUUAAAACAGCUACUACCUUAUUCCUAGUAAAUCCAACCUCAUGAUAUCUGGACAAUAAUUUACCUCUCCAGCGAUCUCAAAGUACCCGGCCGAUGACAUUGCUGCCAUCCUACUUGCGUUUUUAAUGUGAGCAUCCAUAAGAAUGUAGUAAGCGGCAUUUGGAACCGACUGAAACCAAAUGGGAGCUCAGCUAGAGGUUGGAGUUUAGAUUCACCAGUUUCUCAAAUUAGCAUAGCCAGACGUAGAUAAUAAUUUGUCAUCGCCGUGAACAAAGCUCAACUGGGCUAUAAUUUUAGAAACACAAUAUCAACUGUCGAGCGUUAGUUAAAUUGAUCCAUGCUUGACAUGAGAAAUGGGUUUAGGCCUUGUGAAUUAUAUUUUGGAUUUGGCUUCAUCACAACUCCACAUGUUCCAUAACAGUAUCUGUGUCUUAAAUUUUAUAAUAUUUAGCAAAUAAUUUUUUCAUAAUCACAGGAUUAUGACAGAAUCAAGAUGCUCUAAUAAUUUCAACGUUCUACCAUGAUACUACGAUGAAAAUAUAAAUGCAUAAUAAGUUAAACUAUAUGCAACCACAACAGGUAUACUAUAAUUUUUAUUCCAAAAUUUCAGUAUAAAAACAAAAGAACAAAAUCUUUAAAUCCUCGUUAUAUCUAGUACCGUCAUAUGACCUGACAUAAUAAACAGAACCCAAUAUAAUACAGUCAAUACCAGUGAUUAAGGUGCAAGAGGAAAACCUGAAAUAAUUCUGUCAAUAUUUAUAACAUAAUACCAAGUGAGUAUAGUGGAAGAGGAAGACCACAAAACUACUUUUAACAGAAUUUUCAAUUUGGAAAUACCAGGGCUAUCUCCAUACAUAAAUCUUAGAUUGACUUCCUGAUAUGCGCACAUAUUUCCCUACCAUGAAUCAGAAAUGUUUGUUACAGAAAUUUUAGGAGCCAGUAUCUACAUAAAAAUUUUAUUAAAUGGGGCAUAAAAAGGAGCAAUACCUAUUCACAUCUCUAAACGAAUGCUAAUGCUACAAAUUUUUCUUGCCCUUGAUAAAGAAGGCAUCAAUGGGGAUAUGCGUUCCCUUGUUUGGGGAAGACUUCAGCUUCUUCCGAGCAUUUUCUUUAGCUUGCAGUGCCUUUCGCACUGACCUGAUGAAGGACAACACAAUAAUCAGAAUAAGCCUAAUCUCAUACUGAGUUAGGAAGAUACUGUGAACUCAUGCCAUAACAUGCCUAAAUUCUCAGACAGAAAGUUCGAUAAACUGUAAUGAGAUCAACAUUUUCAUUUCCUAUAACCUUGAACCUGCUACUUGUUCUGUAAUGAAUAAUACCUUAACUAUAUGAAUUUCUAACAAGUAAUGCCAAACACUUAGCUCUAAGAAAAUCUAAAAUAGGGGGAAAUUAUAGCAACCUAAAAGCUAAGACAUUAAGCAAUGCAACAAAUAAUAAUCUAAACAGGAGAAUGGUGGCUAAAACAAUAAAAAUUUUAAAUAAGCAGGCAUGCAAAAUAAUCAAUCAUAAACUACAGAAGUUACAUUUCUCCUGAAUUUUGAGGAGCUAGUUAAAACACAAGGCUAGUUCAUGGUACCUCUCCUGUGUAAGGUGUCCUGUGCCAUACACAGAUUCCUCCUCCUGAAGCAUCUCAGCUAGAUGAUAAUCUGAAUGUUCUUGCCUCUCCUCGAUGAAACUUGGAGGCAUUUCAAUCCCACAAACAGAGCAAAUAUAGCCAUCUACCCAUGAAAGUUCUACCUUUUGACUGGAUGCAGCUACUGUUUUAUGGCCAGAGAAGUUGCUAAUCAUCUCAUUUUUUGUCUCUACACUAUCACACUGCAGAGGAAGAAAAUUUCAGACAAUUCGAAACCCACAAAUAACAUUACAAUGUAAGACACAGAUUAUAACUUGCCAAGACAAAGGAUUGAAAGACUGGCACUCAUGAUAUGCAAUGAUUAACAAGCUCAUGAAUGAGCAGGUACACUGACUGCCUGACUAGUAACACGUUCACAAGUCAGCUAUUUUACAAAUAAAAACUAAACAUAAGUGAGGAACGAAAAAUUGAUACUUUGCUGAACAUAUGCACAUCUACUACUCUGUCUCCGGUUCUAAAGAAUUAGGUAGCAACAAGACACUUAGUUUAAAGACUUUUUUCCGAAAAAAAAGCAAGGCAUGCCACUUUGAGCAAUCAUAGAUCUCACAAAUCACAAUGUUUAAGUCAAAUUCAGUGGCAUAAACUGGCUCUAAAUCAGGAGUUGAAAUAAAUAUUAGGUCUGUUUACAUGUUCAUAUAAAUUUUUGUAUAGAAUUUUGUGCACUUCAUUUCUACUCUUUAUCCUGGGCAAGAUUAAAGGACUUCUGACCCUAAUCACCAUCAAGAACUAUCAUGUUGAUUGAUCAUAGACAAAGGUCAAAAAUUGAAGAAUAAUAUUUAGGAGUGAUGGUUGGUGAAAAAAAAAAGAAGAAAAAACGUUCAUUCUGAUGGAAUAAGUGAUGAACAGGUGUAAUUCCAACUUUCAACAAUGCACUACAAGCUUUUAUGGUAGAAUAGAGUUGAUAUAACGAAGCAAUGAUGAAACCCUGCUUUCACAAUGUACAAAAGAUCCAUCAUGAACGGUCACAUAAUGACAGCCAGGGGAUUUCAGAGUAAAUUAGGUUCAAUUUCAGAGUAAAUUAGGUUCAAGCAUAUCCUGAUCUACAUCCAUGUAUUGUAAACAAUUCAAGUAAAAGAGCACUAAGGAAAAACAUUCCCUUCAAAGAUAAAACUAAAAGGAUCAAAUCUGCAUUGAAAGAGGAAAAGAUUUCAUUUUAUUUCUUAGCAAUAAAUUUAUGUGGUUAACAGUAUUGAAAUCUGUUUAUAAAAGCAAGGCAAUUUAGUAAGUGAAGAUCUCAAUCAAAGUUAAGCCCUUCAGAUAGUGUUCAUAGAUCAGGCCUCAAUAUCAGACGAAGAACUAGGAAACGCGUCACUGAUAGCUGAUGGCUGACAGUGAGACCUCGCUAAUAUGAUAUCAGUGAAUCACCUUUUACGAGAGUUUCUGUCCAAUCCUAAAAACCAAAGAACAAGUUUCUGGGGAUUGAUGUGAAUCAAUAACUCAGGUUUAUCAGGUGAUAACUAUCUAAUUAAUACCAAACAGUCAGCAUCAAUAUAGGCACAAAAUGGCUAAUUCUCUUGUUCGUUUUGCUUUAUUUUAUUUGGUUCAAUGGUCUCCAGAGUACUAAUAUAUCAAUAUGUUGGCAUAUGGUUCAAUAAUCCUUCAGAGUAUCAAUCUUAAUUACUUGGUCAUCAUCAAUAAGACAUUAUUAAAAACACAAGUUUCAAAAAGGAACACAAGAACAAAAACAAAGUUCAGAAUCAGAUACAAACCUUCUCUGAGCACCCAUUACCCAUAUUUUCUAUUCCAUCUGCAUUACUGGUGGAGGCAAACUUGAGUCCACAAGACAGCUGGUUGGAUGCAAGUACAUCAUUUGUUUCAUAUGAAAGAGAGAUUUUAUUAUCAUUUGAGGCAGAGCUCUCAUGAUGAACUGAAAGAUCAGUUUGUGCAUCACAUAUUUGAUGCUCAUCACUGAACUCAGAAAUACUUGAUUUGUUGACACAUGUAGCACUUGCUGUAACAUUUCCUGAGAUGACAAAACUUGCAAGGGUCUGCUGCAUGGGAUCAAGAGGACUGCAUUUGUCAUCACGAAACUGUGACAUGCGCAGGCCUGUAAAGUUAAGUUUCAAUAUCAGUCAAGGAUAAAUAGAUAGACCACCUAAAAGAAGCCUUAGAAACCAAUUAAUCAUUUUUAGUUAAAUCUGAUGCCAGGGAAUACAGAAAACACUUCAACUUAGAAUUUACCAAAUAACAGAUGAAUGCAAGAAGCCAUGUGCAAAUUCCAAAAUCAGCUUACUGGGUUUUUCUUGGUGGAAUGGAUAUAUUAUACAGUCCUCGGAUAAAUACAUCAAUGAGAGUCAGAAGACAAAAGAUCCCAUAUAAUCUCAACCAUCCAUUUGUAUUUACCUCACUUUUAUUAAGCAAACUGGAUUAUGGGAUCACAUUUUUUGCUGACUUAAGCAAACACUCACAAGAAAGCUGCCUGCUCUGUAGAUCUCUUGCUAUCAUAUCUUUCCAGUCCAGCAUUUCCAUUAUUUUGAAUCAAUCACUACUGCUAAUGCAUCACACUCCUCUCUUAUAAACAGAAGCAGGGUGAUGUGAUACAAGUUAAACAGUUGAGAUAUAUUUGAAAUAAUGUGAAUGUCAAUUUUGAAAGCAUAUGACAAUAAACCUAUAAUGAUUUGGUUAUUCUGGAAUGAAUUGAUCUUCGCUAUCUUCUUGAUGUCCGGGAGUUCUUUUGAAGGUGAUAAUGGACUGACAAAUCCUAGGUCCAAUAUUAUUUGGAUCGAAGCACAGUUCCCCCAAACAAUAUUUGGAUUGGCUGCACUGCCUUUCAAUAUAUGCUCCUUUAGACUAGCAUUGCAUAAAUAUAGAUACAACGGACAACUGACAUUGAGAUGCUUGAGCAGACGAGUGAGAAACCAUAAUAGAAGAUCAGGUGAACUUCAAACAUCAACAUAUACAGAUGUAUUCUUCUUGCCUAGCUUAUCAGAUGAGGCAUAAUUCUUUAUACUAAGCAAUAGAUUAUGUUCUUGAACUGAGGUCCAAAUUUACUCGAGAAAUAUUUGUGCAGGCAGCCAUGGAGGAUCCACAAGUGGUAUGAGCUGGAAGUUAACAAUGGAGCUGGAACUUGAGUCCACAAAAUGCCAUUUUUUGGCAAUGUUACAUUCAUAAAAGUUAAAGGAUUAGCCAUAAGCUUGGAAGAUAGAACAUGAAUGCACGGAUAUAGAUAGACUGCUUGAACAUCAGAAUGUACACAUAUCCUUGGCUUUUCCCAUAAAUCUUCAACAGUGCCCUGACCCAAUAAUAAUAGUAUUUAAAUACCAACAUCAUUAUUGUCAAAAUAAUCUUUUUAUGUAUAAACAAGAUAAGUACUAGCUAGUUUAAUUUUCUUGCUCUAAUUUCAAAUUUAUAGACGGGCUAAUAUGGCACACUAAUUUAUAACAAUUUAGCCACCCAAAAGUUCAAGUUAAAACUCAUGAAACACUUGAAUUUAAAUCAUCCAUUGCAAUUCUAGGAAUUCCAUGUCCUAUUUCCAAAUUUUAUCGAUGCAUUUCUUCUCACCUUGUGAAAAGGAGUCUCAACUUGCCAAUUCACAAGUUAGAACAUUGAACCAUAACAAACAUCAAAAUAAUAUAUGUCUUAAUUGGAAGUAACAAACAUGCACUGAAGAUCAUUAAAGGAAAUUUACAAGCAUUCUACAUACCCAUCAACCUCAAAGAAAGAGGAAGUUCUGCCUUUAACACCUUGGAAGCAUAAGUUUGGAUUUCCUCCUUUGAUUGAAUAAAUUUCUGCAGUGAUACUGCUCUAGUUCUAACCUGCAGUUUGUUACUGUCAGUACAUAUGGAAAUGAUAGGUAGAGGAUAAGACACAAUUACAGUAGAAAAGAAUUCUUCACAAAAUAUGCAGGCUCAACAAGCACAAAUUCUAUGCAGGAAUCUGGAAAAGAUGCCACAGUCACUUUUGCUGUUCAGUCCUAAAAUGUUUUUUGUUUUUUUGGUAGGAAACUUCAAAGUUUUGCAGGUGUUCAGUGAUAAAUAGUUACACAGAAAGAUAUCAGCUGGGAAAAAUAAAAAAUAAAAGAAACCUCAAAAGAUGCUGUCUUCAAUUUUAGUGUCAAAGUUCGUCCCCAAAGACAUUCCUUCUGCAUGUCAUUUGAUAAUGUUUCUGCAAUAUCCGCUGCAACAAAGAAAGUAAAAAAAAUUAGCACCUAUCUACCAUUUAUUGACAAUCACUUCAUAGAAUAAAUAAAUACAAUGGAAUACUUCUAAAUUUUGCACUGCACUGUGAACUCAAAAAUUCAAAUAAGUUUUCUUAGAAGACGAAUCACAAAAUAUAAGGAAUAAAGUGUUUACUAGCAUGUCAGAGGGGCAGAAAAUAUUUUGUGAAAAAAGAGGUAAAUCUGUCAUAGUUCGGUAGUCCUGGGAUGAUGCCAAAAUAACCGCACAGUAUGAAAUGUGAAGACAUUUCAAGCAAUGUCGUUGACAGUUGAUGCGGGGAGAAUGUUAAUAGCCCAAAAGAAAGAACAUGUGGAAUGAUCCAAAACUUUUGGGGAAAAGGUUAAAUUUAAAGGCCUACUGCCAAAAGAGCUUAUGUCACACCUUGAAUCGUGUCAUUUGACAAUUAUUGUUUUCAAUAUCAGGCACCAUCAAUGUCCCUAAUAUAACCAUGUCUGGAACAAAAGGCAACACAGAAAUACAUAAAUAAGCUAAGGUAGAAGUCCUAUUUCGCUAAACAUACAAUAAUAUGAGGAUCAUUAUUGUUACAAAUGAUAACUUCUAGAUGCUAUCUUUAAUAAAUGGUUGGCAUCUAAUAGUUCCACAUUUACUUAUAAUAGGAGUAUGGAGGUAUGUACAUAUACAAGAUUAGAUGGAGUCCACCUUGUAGGAUAUUUUAGGGCUCCAAUUAACUUCUUUAUAUUGAGGUGUUAUCUUUAGGGCGAUGACCAAACACCAAAGUCAAAAUACUUUUAUGCCUUGUCAUCUUAGCUUAUUUCCCUCCCCCUCUCCUGCCAAGCAGACACCCAAUGCAACAUUUUUCUCUCAUCAUAUUUUUUCCCCGUCGUUUGAAAUUCCGUUUCUCCUUUGUUUCUUUUCUUAUUUCUACCUUUUUCUUUUUCUUUCUUCCAAAUGUCAAUAUAGUAAUAGUUUUUGACAAACUAUUUAUAUUAGAAAUAGUGGUCUGAAUCUUUACAUCCAAUCAUACCACAUAAUACAUAACAACCAAUCAAUAAGCAACAGAAUAAUUAUUUAGAAAGAAGAAAAUAAAGUUGGACAUCUUUACCCAAUUUCUGUAAAAGCAUUGGUUCAUCUCCAGUGGCAGAAAAUGUUCUCUCACUGCUAAUACUCUUACGCAACUUUUGUUCAGGAGUAUCUGUUCUUCCUAAGCCAAGUCCAACUGAAAGAAAAAAGUCUACAGCAGAAGAGUACAAUUAGACUACAUUUAGCCACCAUCAGUAUACAAGAGGUGCAUAAGAUAUUUAUGUAACAUCAAUAAGAUUCAGAAAGAGGGGCAAACAAUUUCUCUUUUGCCAUAAAUAAUCAUAUAGAAAAUCUUCCAAGAGGUGUAAGAUAUCUUAUAGAGAAUCAAAAUAAUCAGAAAGGAAAAGCUGCAAAUUCUUGGAAAGCUCCUGCAAUAUAAAUCGUUUUACAUCCCAUGUUAUGUUUGAUGGGGCUUACAUACUUGUUCAGAAGUUGUUGGUUCCACUGACUUACAACCACAUACAACUACAACUCUGCAACUUAGUUUCCAGUAUUACUAAACGGUGAUAGCAUAACCAACUGGCUAAUAAGUUUCCAAGAUAGAACCACAUGUUCAAACUCACUCUUUUAUAUCUCAUUAUAUAUAGACAGAGAUGUUUCCUCUCCCUGCCACUUAUUCUGAAUUUUUGCUAAGGUUCAGCAAAAUUUAGAAGAGUUCCAUACUUGCACCAUGUAUCUAAAUAUUUUCAUAGAUGAUGUAAUACUCUCAUAUUCCUUUAAAGAGUUAAAAUUAUCAGGAUAGUAGUCCUUUGUACAUAAGUAAGAUAAAGUUUUUAAUAAUUAUUUCAUCUUCUAUUGUACUAAUUUUUCCAGACUUAUUUCCUAUUCUUGAUUUUUUUGAGAAAUAAAUACUCAAUAUCUACAAAAAGAUAAAAUAAUAAAUUAAUGGUACCUAGUAUACUGACCAGUUGAACAAUGAGAAAACAGCGCACACAGGAAUGCACCCUUUUGCAGCAACUCCUCACAAGUAUUGAUUCCAAGUACAUCCUUUAAAAUGGUUUCAGUCACCUUACCAAUUCCCCCUAUCUGUAUGCAGAGAUCUUUAAGCAACAUAUCAGAUCUAAUGACACAUAAGACCUUUUGAAUAUAAGUAGAUAUAAAAAUCAAACAACCAAAAGACAAUUCUGCAGUGUAAAGGUAACCUUAAACUUUCCAUAAAUACACAAGAUCACAGAAUUAAUGAUAUUUGAAAAAAUAGCCAAAAUUCUGCCAAAAUCAAAGGAUCUUUACUAGAUUGGACAAAAGACUAACAACCAACACUCAAAGAAACAAUGCAUAUAAAGAUGAAAGGUGACCAAUGCAGUAUACUAAAUUUUGGAAAAAUCUACUUAAGGCUACGUGCAUCUGACCCCCUAUAGAUCCUGCAAUGGUGGGAGCCUCAUGCACCAAGCCACCUUUUUUUAAAAAGGGGCAGAAAAAGAUAAGUUUUAUUGCUAUAUAAUAUUACCAAAAAGUAUAUGGAAAUUUAUGUGAAACUAAAGUAACUCUAUGGACUAAUUCAAUAGAUUUUGCAAAUAAGAAAACAGAUGAUUAGAGAAGUGUACUCAUUUGAAGAAUAGAGGCAGUGCAAAAGAAUUUCACUAUCAUGACAAUAAGCUGAGCCACACUCAAAAUUACAGGAAAGGUGUUGAAAAACAAAGGUCAAGUAACACAGUAAAAAUUGAAGAGAACCAAUUUACGCCACAAGGUUGAUAGUGAUGACAAUUUUCUUUAUGUAACUUACUGAACCAUGAGAUCAACAAUUUCAAUAAUUUUCUUAUGUAACCAGUACAAAGCAUGAAAACUAUCACCACUUCUGCAUUAUGUCAAAAAAUAAUCCAGAUAAAAAAAAGUAAAUUCAUUUGCCCGUUUGCAUUUGUCGUUAUCAACAGUAUGAUAGUGUAUCAAAGCAACAGAGAAUACUUUAUGAUAAGAAUUGAUUCAGUAUGUGUUUUAAAAUGCAGUGAAUGGAGCCAGAUUUGCGCCAGCAUGCACAUGCAAUUCCUUGACCGCACCACAUUGCCUAUUUGCAGUAAUUUUGGGUGAUCAUACCAUUUAUGGACCGAAAAUAGCAUUAUGCAGCUCCAUCUGGUAGCCCUCUUAACAUUCUGGAGCUACAUAUGCAGCACACUCUUAUGCGAUCCCAUGCAACUAAGGUGGUUCAAAUGUGAUUUUAGGUGGGCCCAAUAUGGGUAAUAAUAAUGUUAAAUAUAUAAUGUUAUAGUUAUUGCUAUUAGGUAUUAGGUACUAAAUAAUAAGCACUAAUUGUCAAUUGUUAUUUUUUUAAUAUUGCUAUUAUGCAUCCAAAAUAUUUUUAUCGUUAUCUUAUUAUUGUAUUUAAUGUAUUACAUUUAUUUCUAAAUAUUUAACUAAUAGAAACUACAUUAUGCACUCGCAAAUGCAGCUCACAUAUUGUAUAUGCAUUAUGUGGUUCCUUUUUUUUGAUACAUCGGCGGACCACACCAGACGAGUAUGGAUACAACUAACAAAAUCAGAAAACAAAAUACUACGCAAAGGUAUAGGCACAGCCUCGUGGUCUAUUCAGAAGAAACCUCCAGAGUGAUGAGCCGCGAAGGAAGCAACCCAGUCUGCAGCACUGUUCACCUUCCGAUAUACGUGCAUAGCCUAGUAAGAGUCAGCCUCCCCCAGUGCCCUGCAAAUAUCGUGGAGCAACAGCCGAUCCUCGACUGAGCACCCCCGUUCCGGAUCCACUCAAUCACCGUGGUCGAAUCCCCCACGAGGAAGAGGCGACCGGUGCCCAGUAUCUGCCUUGCAUAGGAGACACCCUUCCAGACUGCUCUAAGCUCAGCGGUCAUUAUUGACGAGUCAUUAUGUGGUUCCUUGACCGCCCACAUACUGCAGCAUGCUUCUAAAACAAUGAUUUGGUGUCUAGUCAAGGUUUCAUGUCUUUAAUGCCUGCAUUUUCCUUAAGGAUCAUUUUGUAUGCUAAAAAGAUCAGAGUUGCGAAGGAGUCCAGAAAUUAAAGAGAUAAGCACAUAUUUUAGAGUAUCUUUUGGACUUUUCUGAUUUUUUGAUGACAUCAAUAGAUCUUAGCUUACUAGCCUAACCCAUCAAAUCAAUUCCACCAUAGUGAAUCUUGUUGAGCUAUUUGUUCGGUUAUAUUUCUUCCUAUCCAAUAUUAUCUCCUCCAUCAGAUAAACUACUUCAAGUGGCCUUAGAGACCAAAAAUACAUAUACAUACAAAGGAAAUCAUGUGUCUGUAUUGUGAAAGCCUGCAGGGAAAACACACAUUUUCCAAUGUCAAAUCCGUGAAGUUCAAUAAAGAAGGCUGAAAUACCUUUCUUAUAGGUAGUGAAGAUAUAAAGGUCGUCACAGCCUUCCGGUCAUUUGGUAAGAUGUAUUGCCCAUUAGGUUUGUUAAUAUCUGAACAAACCUAGCAAAAGACACGGAAAGAUAAAUUUAACACUAUUGAGAUAAGUUAUGCACAGAAAGACAAAUUUAAGACUAUUGAGAUAGGUUACAUCUGUUAAACAUGACAGUUCAAGACAACACAAUCAUCAUACCAACAAUUAGAAAAAAAAGAAAAAAAAAACUAUAGAAGCAACACUCAUUGGCCUUUUACCUUGUUUAAGUUUGAUGCAUGUCAUUACAAGGAGAAGACAAUUCUCAGUUUAUGAACACAUAAAUUAAAAAAACAUAAAUAAUCGUUACUGUAGCAACUCAAAGCAUCAGUCCAAUUCUUACAGAAAUACAAGCUGGUAGGCUAGCAGACUAAACACAAAGACCACGUGGUGAAAUUGGAUAUGCAGUUAACCAUUAUCAUUGUAUCAAUAUGUUUGCUUGAAGCUAAUUUAAGUUAACCAGUAUCAUUGUAUCUAUCUGAUGGUUUAAAGCUAAUUUGGUCCCAAUCACUGUCUAUCAGCAUAUCAACAUAAAUAGCUAGAAAGGUUUUCACUUAGUAGGGUAGCCUAUUUUCACAUGAACAGAAUUUUAAAUGAGUAGGGCCAAAAUUUACGGGAUAAAUAUGGAAUGCUAAUGACCACAGGACUGGCUUACGAACGACAUAAUGAAUUAAGGCACAUGCAGUACAGGAAGAAACAAAUAGCCAUAUGUUAACUCUAAAGAUAUAUCACAAUCAGCACCUAAUUUUUUACAUACUGUUAGCAAGAUAAUAAAGUAUGAAUAAGAUACAUUAACAAACCUUGGCAAGCAAGCGGUUAGGCGCCACUCCAACACUACAUGUGAGACCAGUCUCCUCAUAAAUAUUAUUCCUGAGUUCAGCAGCAACCUUCGAAAAAAGAAGCAAGCACAAUGUCAGGAGACUGUCACGCCCAGCACGAUGAUUUAUGAAAAAACUGACAUUAAAGAACCACUAGUCUUAAAUUCACAGGUUAGGAGGCUAGGCUAUUAGCUGAUCGUGCUGAACUUACUUCUUCACUGUUAAGACCUCUUUCAUUGCAAGAUUCAGUUAUAUUUAGGUAUGCUUCAUCCAAACUAGCUGCGAUGAAGUCAGGGUCAUAUCUUCUGAAAACUGAACAAAUAAAAUGAAAACUGAUUAACAUGUUAGCCUGGCAAUUGAGCUAACAGGAAUUAUUUAAAAGUAAUAGAGCGAACCUUUUCUUGUUAGUUCACUGUAAUAAGUAUAUUUCUCGAAAUUGGUAGGAACAAAAACCAAGUCUGGACAUAAUUUAUGUGCAAUGAAACCAGGCAUCGCAGCACGAACCCCAAAUUUCCGUGCCUAGAUCAGAAUAAGUCAUAAAUCCAGAAUCAGCAAAAACACUUGAAAUUACAUAUGAUAUGGCAAGUCCUAGAAUGUUAUUCUUCAACAUAGAAGAUAAUGUUGCAAUGAGAAAUGUAUACAAAUAGCACACCUCAUAAUUUGCAGUGCAUAUCAUAGACAUGCUACCUACUGCCAUAGGUUUUCCCUUCAAAGAUGGAUUCUCUAAUGUCUCAACAGCAGCAUAGAAAGCAUCCAUGUCAAUGUGCAGCCAUAUCUUUGAAAGGUCACGUGAAGCUUCCAGCUCCAAAAUUUUUUUAUUAGCCACCUGGAAGGCAGCAUGAUAGAAAUGAAUCAUGAUCAAGUUUCCACAGAACCUCACAAAAUAUCUAGAAUAACUAUAGCAAAAAACAAGCCACACCCCAUAUAUUUUGCUUUGGAAUUACAAUCUUACAUCAUCCAUGCCUGCCAAAAGUUAAUAUAUAUUUUAGCAAAAUAAAAAGAUUAAAGAGAAUCAAAUGCUUAAGGAAAUGCUUUUACGUCUUGAACCAUGAAAUAUUAACAAGAUCUCAAGUCCUCAAUAACGAUAAUUAUGCUAAAGCAAAGGCCAGAAUUUUAACAGUAUUAGCAGCUUAAAAAUAACAGUAAUAGUUGUUACAGAUAUUAGUUGCAUAAAGAAACUAUUUUUUGUGUGCAUAGACUGCAUUCUUACGCAUUUUUAUGAAAAUGAUACAUGUAGUCCAGUGUGAGAGUAUACAGUGAACUUUCAUCCUCCAUUAUUGCUUUAUUGUAGUUCAUUAAUAAUAGUAAACCUAAGAUCAUUGUCUUGAGCCACAACAUACAUCACAUAUGUUUCUAAUUCCACCAAUGCAAAUUAUGUCCAUUUGUUCUAUCUCUAGAUCUUACAAUGGAACAUCAUUACAUAUGGAUAUGAACUCAAUAUAUGGAAUAUAUUCACAUCUUUCACAUGUCACAUUAAAAUGCGAAUACACAAAUGCAAAUACACAUUAAUAUGCAUAUAGGCAAUCUGUAGCUGCCCCACCAUAUUCUUAGUCAAGAACAAUAAGCAAGAACUAUGGAUUUCACGAAUACAAGGGAGAUGCUUUAAAAUAGAAAAUAUUCAGAAGUUGUAACAUCCCAAAGCUUCAAAAUGUUGUUCGCUGUUGCAAGUUGUUUUCUUUGUGCAGUAAUUAUUAAAUCAAAACAAACAUAAUUUAAAGGUUAUAACAGAUAUUUCAAUUUGAUACAAAUGUAAGGGUUUUUAAAUCGAAACAAAAUGCUGGACAGUGCUUUAAAAUAGAAAAGAAUCAGAAAAAAACUUUGUAAUAUCCCAAAGCUUUAAAAUGAAGUUCACUAUUGCAAUUUGUUUUCUUCAUGCAGUCAUUGUUAAAACAAAACAACCAUAUUUUGAAGGUAGGCAGAACAAAUAUUUCAGUUUGAUACAAAUAUAAGGGUUCUUGUAUCAAAAAAAAUCUGGUUACUCUACAAAAGUUAUAUAUGCCUACCUCCUGAAAAUGGGGCAUGUCCUUAUCUGUCAGUUUUGCACACAGAGUAUGCAAAUUCUCUACUUUUUGUCUAAUAUAUGCCUCCUUACGUUUCUCAUUCUCGAAAUAUUUUGAUCCUUUACUCAUCUCAUAUAUGAUCCUCUGCACUUUCUCCUUGUCAACUCCCUCCAUUCCUAACAAUCAUGAAAUGUUGUACUUUAGAAAAUAGAAACAAUUAUACUACAGACAAAUAUAUGUAAAUGAAGAGCUAUUUAAAUUACCCUUGACCAGCCUUGCACCAUAACAAAAUGAAGUUAAAAAUUAACAUACACAUAGACAAGCUUCAUUUCUUUAUGUAUCAAAAACAUGUAUCAGAAAUCGAUGCUGCCAUUUCAUCCACAUAUUGAUCUUUUCUAAAUAAAUAAAAACAAUGUGAAAAAACUACAGAAAAAGGAGGAGCAGAAAAUGCUUUUCCAUUUUGAGGAAACAGACUAGGAAUAAACCCAGGGAAGGAAGGUGCAAGAAGGACCAGGAAAGACAACAGAGUGGAGACACACCCAAAACCCCUCACAGUAAAAUUCCACCAAUUACCUCAGUCCCAAAUCUGAUCUCUGAAAAAGACAGAUUCUUGCAUUCUUCUUGAUAGGAUAACAUUAAAACUGUAAGAAGAAGACCACAAGUGUAGAUCAUCAAAAGAGAAUUCUUCCACAAGUCUAGAUCAUCAAAAGAGAAUUCUUUCUUUUUCAUGAAGAUCAACAUAGCACAAGAUUGAUUAAAGAAUAUAGUUGCAUAAGAAGUUAUAUAAGGAUCUUUCUUUUUUGAGAUGUGAAGAAAGGAAUAUGUAAAGCUUAACAUCUUGAACCCGCACCAUCCCGUGUAUAGGGCAAUGAUCAGCAACUACAAUAUUAUAACACCAUUUUUAGUUUUAUGCGAGCAUGUCUCUACCUAAGUUGUAGACCGGCAUGAUUCCUAAUCCCUAACUGUCUUUACUCAGCCUUCCUUUUACACCACCCCUAACUCACUUCAUUCAUCCUACCAUUUACACCAUUCCCUAAUUUCAGUAAUAAUGAAAAAAAAGGCAUCAAUAUUCAACCUUGACAUGCUCAUCCAAUUUCCAACCCCACAAAUUUUUGUUGCAUCCCAGGAAAUAUCCAAUACAAAUGCCCCUUUACAUACACACACUCAUGCAUUCUUAAAUUCCUUACUAAAAAAUCCACUACUUUAGGGUUAGAACCAACCAAAAACACACGAAAUUCCAAGAAAAAUCAGGCCCAGCUGAAAGAAAGUACGAUUCCCAAUACACCAACUGCGCUCAACUCAUUUGCAAAUAAGCAGACUCGUUGUUGCAUCCAGCCAGAACGCCCACCAAGUAAAUAACCCAAACUGAAGAAAAGGUAACGGAGCAGAAACAGGCAACUCUAAUCUUGCUAUCUUGAGAACAGCUCAUACAAGGGUUAAAGCAAGAAAAAAGAACUACUAAAACAAGAAAUCAAAGAGAGGAAGAGGGAAAGAAUCAAGAACUCUACGACCAAAAGCUACAAACCUAAAAAAAUUGGGUGAAAAAUAAUAGAAAAAAGAGGAGACGGAGUGGAUCUACUCCUAGAUAAAUCUCUUGGGAGGAUCAAACUACCUGCUUUGGCGUUGGUGUAGGCCGUGUGAUAGGACUGCCACGGCCGAUCUCCAUCGGAGAUCGUCCCCAUCUUCUCCAAGAAGGCAAGAACCAGGAGAGUGCGGAAAAACAGAAAAAAUAAACGACCGCCGAAACGUACAAAACGCUCGUCCUCGAUAUUUAUAGUCGCCGUGUGGGUCGCGAUUUGAAUCCGUCACUCGGGGUUGACCGUCAUCCAAUCCGACCUGGCUUGCUUGGGCCUAAUUCAAUUUAUUUUGGAGGACUGUGAGGCUGGAUGGAUUCUAAAAUUAAAUUUUUUUUAUAUUUUAGGUCAAAUGUGGAUUGAAAUUCUUUAAAUUUAAAAUUUGGAUAUUUUUAAAUUUUUAAUUCGUUAAUCCGCCCAGAUUCGAACCGAUUCGAAUCUAUAGAAUUAUUGGUGUAAAUAAGUUCUAAAGUCAUAAAUAGAUUGGUCGGAAUCAAACCCAAAUUUUUUUUAAUAAAAUUUGGAUUAUAAAUGAAUCCAAUUUGAUCCGAAUAAUUUAUUGGAUCAAAAAUUGUAACGAUGGAUUUGGCUCGACAGAACCCAACUUAUUUACACCAUCAGAACCCAACUUAUUUACACCAUACGCCCCGUGGUAUAGUUUUCUGGGGGCUUCAGAGCGCGUUGCCCACAUCCGUCCGAUAAGAUCGAUCAUUGAAACCAAGAAUCCAAAGACCGGCAUUACACCGUUUAUACGCGCCUAAAGGUUGCCAUUAGUGACCGUAAUGAUAAAAAAAAUUUUGCUUUGUCAACCUCUUCACAAUUUAUAAUAAAUAAUUUGUUGAUAAUGGAUAAUAAAAGCAAAAUUACUUUUUUGUUUGACUAGUUAGCGGAUUUGAUUAUUCUAAAUUAUAAAUCACAUCAAAGUUUUUCAUUUUAUCCAAUUGAAUUAAUACUAAAAGUAUAGGCAAUAAACGUUUGAAGCACAUGACUUCGUUUUCUAGGAAAUUAAGAUAAAAUUAAUCAUGAUCAUUUUUUUCUUUUCACAAGCCUACGAUGAGUGUAACCCAAUUCAACUCUUGCAGCAGCAUUCUCUUUCAGUACCUUACCAAACAAUGGGAGCUUAGGAGCUUCUUGUUAUGGCUGUUAUAACCUUACGACUUGAUCAUUUUGUCCAAGCAUGCCAAAGCACUCUCAAGAAAAACUGGACAUUUAAAAAUCUAGCAAACUCGUUAUGAGAUUCAUGUUACCUCAAAUUGAAGAACCAACAGCCUUUUUUUUUUCAUUGGGUGUAUUCGUACCCAUGAUGUAUGAAAUUUCUAUUUAAAAAAUUAAAAAAAAAGAAGUUGGCUGGAACUUCUAUUCCAUGAGGCUAUGCUUGCAAUGUCCAUAUAAGUGCCUGAAAUUUAGGAGGAGGUUUUCAGUCUGUCUAACAAAAAUCCAUUCAAUUUCAUCAAUUCCACAGCAUGCACAUACCUUAGAUUAUCUUCCUUAAUAUACUUAACCUAUUAGUAAGAAGAUUGUUUCAUUCCAACUCACUCAUCUCUUGUUUGUUACAGUUGUUUGCGGUUCAAAUUUGGCCUGAAGGUGACCACGCCGGAGGAGCCGAGGGAGCUGCCGGAAUGUUGAGGAAGAAGGUGAGCCGCCUCCUUCGCGACGGUGUACCUGCACAAAACUUUACCGGUGAUUCCAGUGAGGGCCCUCCGACGAUCAAGUAGGGUGGAUCUUUAUUGGUCCAAAAAUUCCUGCAACGUUACCUGUUGCGGCUAUUUAUAGUCUCCGUAGAAGUGCCCAGAUGGUGGAGGUAUAGCCCGUCCUCAUCAUGGGAGGAGAUGGCUUCAAGCCAGAUGGCGCAUAGCUAGAGUUUGCUUGAGGCACAUGGUGCGGUCCGUUCAUGUGAACAGUAGGCGUUAACAGUUGUAGCAGGAUAUGGCUGGAAGUAGCAUGGCGAUGUCCUUGUCUGUCGUUGGCCAGCAAGCGAAGCAUGGUGCGGUGACGUCAUAAUAUACGACCACGUAGGUGGGCAUGGGCGUGACCGAGCUCGAUGAGGGGUCGCGUCAUGUAUUCGGCGAGGUCGGCUUGGCGAGUGUUGAGGUCGGCAUUGCUUCCUUAAUUCUGAGGUUUGCUCGGUAGGGCACCCCAAGCUCAAGGGUCGGGGCGCGUUGUUAGAUAGGGCACCCCGAACUUGGCCGGGGCGUAUCGUCGAAUAUUAAGGGCACCUCGAGCUCGGGUCGGGGCGUGUCGGCAAAUAUAAAAGGCACCCCGAGCUCGGUCGGGCGCGUCGACGAAUAUAAGGGCACUCGAGCUCGGGUCGGGAUGCAUCGGCGAAUAGUCCUGUAGUCGAAGGAGCUCUUUGGCUCGUAACUGACUCAGCAGGAUGUCCCAAGCUCGAGCUCGGGACGUUACUACAGGUGUUAGAAGAGGUUUCGGCAGGUCGUAGUAGCGGAGAGAUCUGGCCGAGGUCAACUAAAUCUUCGGCGAAGUCUGAGAUUGGGCCGGCUUUGAGCAGGGUUGUAGUCUUGCCCGGCCGAGAAGGGACGAUCCCUUGCCCUAAUCAGGACCAUCCAUUUUACCCCCCAUCAACAGCAAUUCACAUACUUCUGGUUUUCUAAAUCACAGAGAAAACUUCUUGGAAAAAAAAAGAAAACAAAGAAAAACAUUCCCCAUAUAUAUCUGCAUGUUAUGAGAUUCCUCAAAUAAUCACUCUUGGAAAGAUUUCAAAAACUUUGUUGAUGGUUCUAUUGGAACUACAUAAUUAUCCUAUUGAUCUUCAACCAAGAUGGUGGAGGAGGAUGUUCUUGAUGAAUCCCCUGGGGUUUCUUAGAGGAGAUAAUGCAUCAAUUAUGGACUUGGUAAUAUGUUGCAGAGACAUUCCAAGUUUUCUGAGCCAUUAACCUUUCCAUCCCCUUAGUCAUAGAAUAAUACAAACUCCUAAGUUUCCAUGUUAACUAUAUUGAAAUAGAAGAAUUAAAAAAGAGAAUUGUAUUUUUGCUCGUUUGUUAUAAUAUACAGGAGUAGCCUUUAUAUAGACUAGGAAGUUGACGAAAUUUGGUAAAGCCGACUAAAUUUGGCACAAUCAGCCUUUAUGGAGGCCGACUAUAUUUGGCACAAGCAAUGGUGAAGUUUGGUAAGGCCAACUAAGUUUGGCAUAAUCAAUCAAUCAAUGGAUGCUAACAUUCUCCCUCAAACUUAAGGUGGUAAAGUAGACACCAACUUGAGCUUGGAAACAAGAGAUCAAAAGAUGCUAGAAGAAUGAGCUUUGGUAAAGACGUCCGCAAGUUGAUUAGCCGUGAAAACUGGAUCACGAAUGUACCGAAAAACUGACGUACUAGAUCAUGAGUAGGAGUAGGAGCUACUAGAGUUUGAAGUGAGAGCGUGCCUACCAAGUUUACAUUCACCAAGCUUCUGAUGGUACAGUGUGACGCACUGCUGCUGGUGUUUGGAGCGAUACUGCGCCUACCAAGUUUACCUACCAAGCUUUUGAUGGUACGGUUUGACACACUAUUGCUAGGGUUUAGAGCAAGUCCGCGCUUGCCAAGUUUACCCACCAAGCUUCUGACGAUAUGGUUUGAUGUGUUGCUGCUAGAGUUUGGAGUGAGACUGCGCCUGUCAAGUUAACCUGCCAAGUUUCUGACAGUACGGUUUGAUACGCUGUUGUUGGAAUUUGGAGCAAGAUCGUGCCUGCUAAGUUUAUCCGUCAAGCUUCUAACAGUACAGUUUAACAUGCUACUAUUGGGGUUUAGAGCGAAAUCGUGCCUACCAAGUUUAUUUGUCAAGCUUCUACCAAGUUUAUCUGUCAAGCUUCUGACGGCAUGGUUUGACGCACUGCUACUGGGAUUUGGAGCGAAACCACGGCUGCCAAGUUUACCUUUGCUAUAUUUCUGAUGGUAUAGUUUGACGUGCAUCGUCGCCACCUCCAAGGAGAAACAAAAAAGAAAAUAAAACAACGAGAAAAACAAUUUUGUUUUCGGCUUGGAAGAGUGAACACCCAAAUCCGCUGAGCCCCUCACAUGAAGCACUUGGGAAGAAGGACACCCGAAAAAAAUCCCCCCCUUCACGUGAAGAAAGCACCCACAGCAGCCCAACAAAUAUAUAUAUAUAUAUAUUUUAAAUUGAAAGUCAAACGAAGAAUAAUGAAAAAUAACAAAAAAAUUAAAGAAAAAAAUAAGAAAAAAAAGAAGGCUAUAACUUUAUUAGGAUCCCAAUAAAAAGAAGAGGACUUUGGAAAUUGCUGAGGCCGAAGCCCCCAAACGAGGUAGGAGAUAUAGAGGAUCUGCGAGCGACGACGACGACCACAGAAAAGAGAAAGAGAGGACGACAGUAGGUUACGUGAUCGGUAGCUUUGAUACCAUGUUGAAACAGAAGAAUGAGAGAAAAUAAUUGUAUUUAUAUCCGUUUGUUACAAUAUACAGAAGCAGCUUUUAUAUAGACUAGGAGGCUGACGAAUUUUGGUAAGGCCGACUAAGUUUGGCACAAUCAAUCACAAAUCAAUUAAGGUGAAGUUUGGUAAGGCCAACUAAGUUUGGCACAAUCAGCUUUUAUGGAGGAUGACUAUAUUUGGCACAAUCGAUGGUAAAUUUGAUAAAGCCGACUAAGUUUGGCAUAACCAUUCAAUCAACGGAUUAUAACAAAUCAAUUGGUACAAGUAGCAAAAGGCACGUACCAUUUCAGGAUCAUGAGUCCCUUCCCAAAUGGAAGCUUGAAGCCGAAGGUUUCUUUUAGAGAGACGGGAGAUGAUGGUAUAAUGGCCACCUCGCCACUGGGCGAUUCCCUAAUAGUGUAGAAACCAACCCCCUAUAACUAUGCGCCUCUCAUGGUCUUAUGCACCACAAUCUCACUGAUAUAGUUUGUUUUUCAUACUUGCCCCUUGAUUGUGUCAUGCUAUCAUGUUAUUAAUGUGGUGCAUUUAUACUUAUUUUUUUUUUUGGUAAAUCGGCAGCUCACACAUGACGAGCGUGAAGCUGGCCCACAAAAUCAGAAAACAAAAUGCUACGCAAGGACGAAGGCACAGCCUCGUGGCCUAUCCAAAAAAAACCUCCCGAAUGAUGGGCCGCGAAAGAAGCAACCUAGUCAGCCGCACCGUUUGCCUCCCGAUAUACGUGCGAGGCUUGGUAGGAGACAGUCUCCUCCAAAGCUCUACGGAUAUCGUGAAGCAGCGGCCGGUCCUCGACUGAGCACCCUCCUUCCCGGAUCCACCCAACCACCGUGGUCGAGUCCCCCUCGAGAAGGGAGACUUAAAUUUUAUACUUAUCGUUGUCCAUGAUUUGCACCCUUAAAUUUUAUUCUUAAAGUUACUGCAUGGUUACACAUUUCCAAGACGAGGGUGCCCGCGGCUAGCCCAAGCUUCUAUGUGUAUAUGAAACAAACAAUAGCAUGCAAUAGGGCAAUAGGGGUGACCAUUAACUAGAACGAUAAUUUCCCUUCAAUGGAUAUGACAGUCUGAUAUCAAACUUAAAAUUAUUGGAGGAUGGUUAUUAUAUAUAAGUCCCAUGAAACCAACGUUUGAGACAUUCAUGCAUUCAUAGCAUGCAUGAAACUCACUGAAGCAGAUGCUACCAAGUUAAUUUGGAAAUGAAGAACUCUUCUCGCACGUAUAGCUUACCGAUUUGAGACAAACUUCUAGCUAUUGAUAGAUUUGGUGCAGUUUGGUUAAUACAUAAUCAACCAUAGACUAUCAUACCAUCCAGUAUAGACGUGCUGCACCGUUCUGAGUCGGAACUGGUGCAAAAAAUUAAUUUAGAUCGGUGUAGAUCCGAUGCCAACCAUACUGAUCCACCCUGAGAGACAUAACAAUCCCUACCGAGGUUGAUAGCAUCGAUAUAAAAAGUAAGAAAAACGACUCUAAUGAUGUUUCUGUCAUACCCCCGCCUGCGUGGGGCACGUGAGGCACCCAGUGCCCAAGUGGAGGCUACAGGAGGGGGGAACACGAGGCUUUCCUAUCAGAUAUUGUCCGAUUCCGAGGCCUGCCCGCACGCGCGCGCCGCUAAGACCCUCUCCGAUUUUGUUUUCCAUCCAAAACGUAUAUGCAGGAUUUGGAGACAUGCGUCUCAUAUGCCCAGGUUCUGAAACGAGUCUAGCAGAUGUGGGAUAUUUCAUUCACCCACCCUCGGACUAGAGCCGUUCUCGGCUUUGAUACCAAAUGUCACGCCCCCCGCCUGCGCGGGGCAUCUGAGGGACCCAGUACCCUUGUGGAGGCCACAGGAGGAGGAACACGGAGUUCCCUUGCCAGAUAUUGUCUAGUUCCGGGGCUCGUAUCCACGCGCGCCGCUCAGACCCCUUUCCGGUUUUGUUUUCCACCCAAAAUGUGUCUGUAGGAUUUAGAGACACCCGCAUCAUAUGCCCAGGCUCUGAAACGAGUUUAACCGAUGUGAGAUCUUUCAUUCAUCCACCCUCGGACUAGAGUCAUCCUCGACUCUAAUACCAAAUGUCGCNNNNNNNNNNNNNNNNNNNNNNNNNNNNNNNNNNNNNNNNNNNNNNNNNNNNNNNNNNNNNNNNNNNNNNNNNNNNNNNNNNNNNNNNNNNNNNNNNNNNNNNNNNNNNNNNNNNNNNNNNNNNNNNNNNNNNNNNNNNNNNNNNNNNNNNNNNNNNNNNNNNNNNNNNNNNNNNNNNNNNNNNNNNNNNNNNNNNNNNNNNNNNNNNNNNNNNNNNNNNNNNNNNNNNNNNNNNNNNNNNNNNNNNNNNNNNNNNNNNNNNNNNNNNNNNNNNNNNNNNNNNNNNNNNNNNNNNNNNNNNNNNNNNNNNNNNNNNNNNNNNNNNNNNNNNNNNNNNNNNNNNNNNNNNNNNNNNNNNNNCCAUCGCUUCCCCUAAUCCGCAUCCUAUUGGUUAUACUACACACUAAAGUCAGCCGUUGCUUCUCUCAAAUGUCAGCAAUUCUUGGACAUUAGCACAUAAGGCCAUGAAGGAUCACGAUGAAUUUGGAUAUACAUUGACCACCCCAAAUCAUCUGACAUACAAUCCAUAGGGCAAGUCAAUUAGUUGACAUCAUUAAUAACUUUUCUAGCAAAAUUGUCAUUAAUUUCUUAUUAGAUCUCUAUAGAAUAAAGAUCAUAAAAAGCAUUCAAUCUCUUCGAAAUUAGCAGAUAAUAUGUGAGAGUGGCGGUCGGAGCUAUGGACAGAUACUAACCACUUUCCUACUGUCCCUUUGUGGCUUCAAGAAGCAUUGAUUCCUCUUCUCUUUUAUCCAUGUUACCCGCAACUACCAGAAGCUCUUCUUCUCCUCUCUUUUUUGCUUCAAGAACCAUCGAUUCCUCCUCUCUUUUAUCCAUGUUAUACUGCACGCUUUGCUCAUCAUCUACCACUGCUUUAGCUUCCUCACCAUUCUCAUCACUGUCCUCUGCAUCUUCGUCAACAUCCUUUAUGAAUGAAUCCAAUAUAACCUGUCGUCUUCUUCACUUUCCUCUUAUUCUUCUUCUUAUCCCACUAGUUCUCUUUCCUCCUUUUCUUUUGGUAGAUUUUUGGUGGGAUAUUCCGGUGCUGCGCGGUCGCAAUCGCCCUCUUCGUAGCCGUUGCCGAGAUGGAAUGGAGUUUUAUGAUAAAAUUUUGGUAGGUCAGUUUUGUUCUUUCAUUUUUUUUUCUUUAGCUAUUUUAAAUUUGAUAUAACUUUAAUUUUAAUUUAUUUUUUGUUUGAUUACUAAUUAAUGUCUAUUUUUCCUUAAUAAUAACGAUAUUGGAGUGAUAAGCUGGAAGGGGCAUGCUACAUAUCUUGUAAGUAUUUUCCCACUAUUCUUUAAAUUUCUGUCAUUUAUACCCUUUAGGAGAAAUGUCUUUUUUCGACUAAUUUGUGAUAGGGAAGAGAGAGCUAUCUGAAGUAUAAAUUGUUGAUUUCUUGAAAAACAGUGUUGCUGUGAUGACAACAGUUUUGUGAAAUGUCUGAUAAAGAGUGGGCAGCAGAAAGAAUUUGAUUUUGUUUAAGGGGGUUGCAAGUUACCUUCUUAUGGCAUGUGGUUUGACGUACGUGAUCUCAAAAACUAUGGGACUUUAAAAAUGGUUUGAUUGCUCAUUUUUCACACUAAAGAACAAAAGAUAAGGCCUCAUGUGCCAAUUCUAUGCCUGGAUGAGUGGUGUUUAGCAUGGUGAACCUUGGAAUCUAAAUUCACAAUCAUGUAAAUUUUAGUUCUUUGGUUUCAAAUAUCAUCAAAAUUAAAGAUAUAUGGAGUAACUUUUCAAGGUUGGACUAGGUAAUUGGCAACUUGAGGCAAGAGAUGAUGCUUUUAACUUUGCUCCUUUGAUCAUGCCAAGGUGUGCCCCCCACCAAACCAAAAAAAAAAAAAAUGGAGCCAACCCAAAAUACAAUGCACACAAACAUAUCACAUAUAUAUAGGUCAAGUUAAAGUUGCAUAUUUUAUUCUGAAUUGGAUGAUGUAGAUCCAAUAUUGAUAAUCCAAGCUAUUAGAUGUGAUCUACUAUUACCUUUAAACUACUUAUAUCCAAAAAAAUCAUGUGAUUUGGAGUUCCCUAGCCCCUGCAUAUAGCAGUCAAAAAGUUUCAUGUUAUUGAAAUUAUUCAAUUUUACUUUAUACAUAAGUUAAAGAGCAUCAAACCAUAUGAUUUUUGGUGCGUAAGUAAUUUAGUGAUAGUAGAUAACAUCCAAUGGCUUGGAUCAUCAAUAUGGGACCCUCAUCGUCUAAUUCAAAAAGUAACUUUUAUGUGUGUGUGUGUGUGUGUGUAUGUAUGCAUGUGUAUGUAUGUAUGUGUGUGUAUAUAUUGAUUAUGUUCUAGUAUUGUGUAUAGCUAUUUAUGGCUACAGCUAUUCUGGGUGUUUUGAUGCAUUGGUUUCUUGAAGCGUGCACGCCAGGAGAAGGAAAUAACAAAAAGCAAGUAGUUAGAGAUCUAGAGGUAAGCAAUUAGUUCAUUGGCAGCAAAAGCCAUUCAACUGCAAAGGCUAUGGUAGAUGUUAGUUUUUACGUACAACAUAUGUUUGUCUCCUAAGUUCAGUUAUUUUGUAAUGUUCAUUGUUCUUUAUUCUGUGACUUUCUCAAGCUUGAAUUGUAAGUAUGAGAGCAUCCAAGUCAAUCAAAUUUUAUAAUAAGUUCUUUGCAAUGGUGAAAAAUGAAACAAUGAACUAAUUUAAUAAUUAUUACUAAAUUAGUCUUGUGAGAACUUAAACAGCAAAGAGGUCAGCAUACAGCUACUUACAUUCAACUCUUUAACACAUUCUUCAUCCUCUCUUUCUUAUUCUCCACAUAACCGGAGGAAUCUUCGCCGUGCAUGGCUUUUAUAAAAAACGAAGCUAGGGUGACAGCUUAGACUCCAAGUCUUUAUAUAUACCAUAUGGCCUAGUCUAGUACCAAUUCAACCUCCACCCUCCAUUUUAUGUAAACGCCUUAAAAGAAGUAAAUGAUCCAUAUGUUCUUCUUCCUGCCAACAUUGUAAACAGGAUCUUAAUUAUGAUCCAAAUUCUGGAUCAUAUGACCCGGACUAAAAUGACCUCCAGUGGUCUAUAUAGUCCUUGGAUUUUCUGGACAUUUUUAUCAUGUCUGCAGUCAUUUUCUUGAUCUCCUUCUUGCAGUUAACCCCUUUAUGUCUUUGGAUUCUAUAUCCUGUAAUACUUUUGGUGGUUGGAGGACCACUGCAGCACUGGAAAGAUGACUAGCCUUGGAAAUGUAAACAUGAAACACAAUGAAGGUUUUGAGAGUAUUCUAGGAAGUAAAGUGUUAUGAUAGCUAUUAAUUUGAUUUGUAGUCAUGUUUUUCUGCUGCAUCAUUCUAUGAGAUGUUAAUGAGAUGACUAACUCAUGCCACAAUGAACUCGAGUUGUAUGGUCAGUUUGAAUUCUUCCUCCAUGGUAGUCUAUAGACUCUAUACAUUCAAUUUCAUGGACUUUAAACCAUUUGGAGAACAGAGUUCCUUUCUUGACUUUUCGUGUGAGUUCAACCAUCCUACUCCUUCAUAUAGUUAUCGAAGUCACGCAUGCCAUAACCAGCCAUCACCAACCUGAGAGAAAGCAUUCUAAUGCACACCUUCAAUACCGAGGUCUCAGAUAGACGGAAUGCCAACAGACUUACGAUUCUUUUGCAGACCUUUAUUGCUGCAAAUCAUGUAAAACGAGAUUGCAGCAAAAGAUGCAACUGUUAUACCUGGCCGGAAUCCUUUUUUCUAUCUUGAGAUGAAUGCCUCUGGUUGUUAGUCUGGCUAUUACAAUAUUAUUCCUAUUCUUAUAUUUUCUUGACUGCUCUAAGUCAUUAUUUAUGAGAAGUGUGUCUUGAAUAAAUUCAUUUUUUCCUCCUAGCUUUUUAAAUGUGAGUCAAUAUGUGUGAUGUAUUCUCUAUGGGGUUAUGAUUAUAUAUUAUUCUCUAUGGGGUUUGAAUCUUUGACCUUAGGUUAACAGCCACAAGCUUCAACUAACUAAGAUGUGGAGUGGGAAAAUGUGAGGUGCGGAGACUGGAUCUGGAAUAGGGAAACAUGCGAUGUGGGAGCAGCACAGACAUCGUGACACACCUCAUGCACAAGCACAUUGGCGGAUUUGAUAUGAUAUAUUAGAAUAGAUUUUUUUUUUUGCUAAACGGAUAAUUCAUAAAGUUAAGGAGCGGAGCGCUUUACGCAGCUCCCUCUCUCCUACCUAUAGGACUCCUUCAGAGUGAUUGGCCAUAUACGAGGAUAUCCAAUCCAUAGCCUCGUUAGCCUCUCUAUAAAUAUGCUUGGCUUAAAACGCCACGCCACCCCUAACCAUAGCCCGAAUAUUUUAAAAGCAAGAAGUGGUACCCAUCCACACCGCAGGUACCCUCCUAGAUCCAGCCAAUCACCGUAGCCAAAUCACCCUUAAGCAUGACUUCUCUAGCCCGUAGCACAUGCCAAGCACAGCCCGUGCCGCCCAUUAGAAUAGAUUUUGUCCAGUUUGGUAUGGUAUUCCGUGGGCUGAAAGAUUUUCACAGUGGAUCGACGUCCAUCUAUACCUGCAGGACUUGAUUAGGACGCAAAUCUAGGCAAAUUACUGAGCAAGAAAGAAAAAGGUUAAGCCAAACCAAGAUUUGCUAUCUUAGUAUUGAACUUCGUAUCGGUGUCACACUAGUACAGUACCGGUACGGUAUGGUACAGAGUUUUUUUGUGUACCUUCGGUACGCUAUCCGUACUGGGUAUCAGUACUGAAUCGGUAUGAUACGGUAUAUCCUGUACCAUCCGGUUCGGACCGGUAUAGCAUACCAUGAGCCAAACAUAUUUUUUAACUCUGAUUCAAAUGGUUGUCUGACUUGAGUAAUGCUGAAUAAGGCUAGAUGACCCUAAGAAUGAUAAGAUUAGACUUGACGCUAGCAAGACUCUGACAAACUUUCUGUGUACCUUUUUAUUUGGACAGUGUUGUAGCCUUCCGAGCUUUCCUCGGGCUGGGCUUCAGCGGAUGGUUCUUAUUGCCUGCAUCAGAUAGACAAAGUUUUGCCUUACUUGAAUGUAAGGCCAUCUCUUAGACACAUAUCCUUAGGGGAAAUUAUGUUUUGAUGAAAAUAUACCAAUGGAUUGCAGAAACUAAAGAUAUCAGUCCUACCAUCCUAAUGUAAUUUCUUGUAUCAACUUCAGCAGAGAGAUUCUGUAAUCUGCAUGAUGGAGCUAAAUCUGAAAUAAUGUUUGGUUCAGUCGAAAAGAAUAAUCCUGCCUGCUGAUGCUGUGGGUGUAAAAAUUGAUGCAACAUAUACAGGCUCUCAGAUUUACAUGCUGAUCAUCUGAUUUGUCAUGUGUGAAAUGCUAUCUCAUAGCAUCCAGUUUCAUUCUCCAGCAACUCGUUCAAAAUUAUAUGCUGAAGCAAUUCUGUUUAUGUUAGGUUAAAUGCAACAUUGAAAUCACCUUUGUAGCUUCCUGGAAAGAAGCAAUUUAUGGUGCAUGGAAAGCAUAUCCCCUAGUGAAGCAAAAAUGAUGACAGGCUUUUUGUAAACCCAUAAUUAAAUUUGUUAAGGAACUUGUAUUGGUGACUGUAACACCUCAAUUUACUGGCAUUAAUUAGUGAAAAAGUAGUUCACCAAGAACAUACAAUUAGAGGACUAAGAUUAUCUACAACUGAAGUUUGAUUCGGAAAACUACAUACACAUUAAUGUCAUCAACGAGUCCCUGGACAGAACUUCAACCCUUUGAUGAAGUUCUUCAAUGCAACAGUAGUGUACAACAUAUGGCUUCCUAUUUCCCCUGUCCAACAUUAUAUAAAGAGUAACCAGAUCAAGCGAGGCUGAUUUGGGGGAUACAUAACCUCCUAUACCCUCAUAGUUAUGUGAAUUAAUAGUCUUCAAGCAGUGUUGCAAAAGUCAAAAAAGGCAACGCGAGAAAAAUCAGAGGGCCUCGUGGUAUUCAUCCCAACUGUACAACUCAGCUCCUAAAAGAAUUGAAUGGCUGAAAGCACCUUCAUUUGAUCCCGAGGGGAAAACAACCAGCCAAAAUCAGAGGAGUUUCAAAACUUCCUUUCCAUGAGGCUUGGGUAAUGUAUAUAGCUGAAAGUUGCCAGCAGCCAAUUGUAUACCAUUCAAAAUCUUUGUCGUAGAGCCAGGCAGACUUGGCCCAAUGUAAUUUGGAUAAGCGGAGAAACAUGGUGCAAUCUCAGAGUUUGAGUAAGGUGAGGGACGGGAGGCUGCUGAUUCAGAAGUUUCAGGACAAGAAUGGCUGGCUUCGCUGUUUGCAAGAAAAUCGCACAUAGAUAAGUUUGCAUAUGGAUGUCCUAAAAAGGUGAAUCUCACAAUGUAACAUCACUGCUACCAGCUUACCCAUUUGAUGACCGAUUUGCAUUCAUGCAUGUGUCACUUUUCGAUGUGGUUCUGUCUCUUGAACUGUAAGUUGUAUCCUGCAAAAGUUGGAUAGAUGCAUUUUAACAUAUCCAGAACUGACAAGGAUGAGUAAUUGUAGAACAAAUGGUACAUAUUGAGACUUACUAUUUUAAUUCCUGCAAAUGCCUCUAUGGAACCAUGAAGGUUGUAAUGGUGGGAGUUUCGUAUAAAAGGAUGUUCAAGCAACAUGUUUGCUGUUGGCCUUUCUGCUGGAUUCCUACGAAAGCAACGCCGAAGAAAGUCCUUACCCUCAGAGGAUAAUGUUUCAGGAAUAGGCGGGUCUUUAUGUAAGACCUUGAACAUAGCUGCUGGCUGUGGUCAUUAUAAAUAGAAUAAAGAAUUCAUUUUCAGAAGGAAGAAUAAGGUGCAUCUAAAACAAAAGUGCACAGAUAACUGAUAAGUGCUCCCAUAUUUUUACAACAUAGGCAUUCAUCAUCGGAUCCAAUUUUGAUCUAAUAUUUGGCGAGUAGGAUUGACAGAACGAAAAAGGAAUUUUUUGAAUAUAUUAGAAUGAAUAAGAAGCAAUUAUUCAAUGGGUGUCAAAGAUGCUGCCUAUAUCUGUAUAAUACAAGUAUACAUAAUAUGCUAUGAAUAUUUUGACAUGCAUGCGAGUUAAGAGUCAUAAAAUCAUGGUGUCUUGGGUUCCCUUCCAUUAGCUCAUAGGACUGUACAUGGCACAAGGUAGGGCAUUAUUCAUGAACGCAUCGGCACAAUACAGUAUUUUCUCCAAGGCAUGAAAUCAAAGAAUUGCCAUGAAGGCAUAUGGAAGUUCAAAAUUUAUUGAGCUUGCUAGAGAUAUUUUAAGUACCUAAGUAUUAUAAGGGUCUGUUUGGACCAAUGUUCAAAAAGAUGUCCGACCUGCCACCUGCAGGUAAAUACAGGCCAGGUCAACUGGGAUUUUAUGAAAACUCACUCCAAACCAUUGAACUGCAUAGUUCAACUGUUCAACCCAUUUGAACAAUUCUGGUUCAAUGGGUCGCAGGUCACAUUAUCUUAUUAGACGGAAGCCCUAAAUAGGAUGCUCUGUUCUUCUCUCCUCUCCAUUCUCCUACUCCAUUUCCUCCUAGUGCUAGGCUAUGUCCUUGCACCCCCAACAUCUUCUCUUUCUCUCCAUCUCCUUCGUCUCCCUCCCUACUCUCUUCUCCCUCUCAAGCUCACCUUGCUCUCACUCUAUCAGCCAUCAACUCCACCAUCCAGUCCCCCAGAUCCAAAUACCUUUGGCUUCACCAUGCUGUCAUGGCCAUCAAUGGUAGGAGAUCAUUCAUAAAUUGUUGGCUACCUCUAUUCUUUAUUCUCCACUCAAGCAAGGACAAGGGCGAGGAGGAUGAUGCGGGGUCUUGUGGUGACAAGAACACACAACACUCCCCCCCCCCCUGCGCGGGGUCUCUACUCUGCAAAUACCAACUCCACAAGAUGUAAUUCAUGGAUAGGGCGACAAUAUCAUUAAUAGAUGUAUUUUGGCUUAUGCUGCCAUAUGCUUUACAUGAUAAGUAUGUACAGCAGCCAAAAAGAAGCAAAUUGAAGUGGGUGUGAGCAUCUCAGAGAGUAAUUGGAACUCUCAGAAAUUUGAGGAGGUUGAACUCUUUGGUUAAAAAGUAACAUUGGGUAUAACAAAUCAUAAAACAUUCAUUUACUUAGGGAUCCUACUAUAGUAAAACACAUGAUACAUAAAAUGCAUAGAGUGAGAAUAGAAGCUUUAUUAUUGUCAUCCACUGUAUAGGAAUGCAAGAAGAAAAAGAUUGACAAAAUAUUCUACUGGAAGCACAAGCAAGCCAGCGCUUGCAUGAGCAAGAUUAAAGUGGGAGCUGAACUUCAAGCAGGAGAUUCCAUUUGUUAUACAGGUAGUUAUAAGCUUUUAAAUAUUGUAACCAAAACUUGUAUCAGUUUUCUCAGCACGGUCUCAGUACAGUACCAGUAUAGACGGUACAUACCGAAUCUAAAAACAUCAAAAAAAAAUGAAAAAUUAUCAGUAUGACUGGUAGAAUCAGCAUGGUAUUGUCAAUAUGCACAGGUACAUACCGGUACAAAUGAUUUCAACGUCCUAGCACCUGUUAUGGUGCUGCUUUUGCAAUGGAAAAGUACAUAAAGACAGUACAGUCCCAUUCCAAUUGUUUUUUAUUCCAUUAAGUGUUACAAACUGUUUCAGGCUCUUUGUCUUUUAGUGUUGGUGAGAUAUCAAAAUAAAUUCAGACAUGAUUUUCUAGACAGUUUGUUUAAUGCACAACCAUGGCCUAGAAGGCUAUAGAUUGGCCCUGGGUAAACAAAGAUCAACCAGAAAAAGAUAGUUUGUGGAAGAAGAACUAGAAAAUUUUAUUAACUUCAGAGAAACUGAACUUAAUUACUGCAAACUCCCCUCUAUUAUAAUUGUAGAUUGCAUUCCAGAAUAUAAACUUCUUGAAGAAAAAUGGCUCUUCUCUACACUUUCCUAGAUACAAGGAGAGCCGAGAAGACUUUCCCAAAAUAGUAAAAUUUGUAACACUAGAAGAACCAACUCUAAUAAGUCUAAGCUGAAUAUUGGAAGAGGCCCCAGAAUAAACAUGAAAUUCCUAGAAUGUAGAAAAUAUCUUACCAUUCCACAAAGGAUUUAAUCAAAAGAGCCUUACUAACUGAAAAUGAGGAAAAAAAGAAAGUCCCAGUUUGAGACUUUCUUGUGCACAAGUCUCCUCUGCAUUUCCAUGACCACUUGAUCUUCAAUUUUGACCACAUAAUGUGUUGACCAGUUGGCUGUCCUAGUCACCCAAAAUGGCCCCGUAGAAAAAAGCAAGCCAUAGAUCUUUUUAGAGUACUUGAGAGCACGGCAUUCAGCCUGUUGAGUGCUGUUGUACUGGUGGGAAUUUGAGUAGUUAAUAUUGGAAAACUAAGAAAGAGUAUACCUAGUUCAGGUGCACUGUAGACCUACGAAAAGUAUUCGGCAAGGAUGUCUUGUGCAGAAGAGGAUGCUUUGCAGGUGUAAGUCAGGCUCAAAAAAAAUGAAUGUAAGAACUUGGAUAACACAAUUCCCUAUUUAAUUUGUUGUUUUAAAAAGCUUUGACCACUUCAUCAGCAUGACUUCAUGCAUCUAAGACAAGAAAGUUACUAAGUGCAGGAAGUUGCAGGAAACAUACAGACAAAGCCCUCAACAAAACCUGUCAACAAAGAACUGCAGGUAAUCAUAGUAAGAAAAUAUGGAUUUUUAAUAAAAGAAAACAUCAAUUUCUAAUUUGACAAAGACUUAGGAAAAAAAGAUUUAUCAAAAAAAUGGAAAAAAGAUUGUAGUGCAAAGAAUGCUUGAACUAUCUUAAUAUUUAAAAAUUCAAGAAAAUAGAAAAAAAGAAGAAUUGGAGAAAUAAUUAUUGGAUGUCUCAUAAAAACCACCAAAUCCAUAAAUCAUGUUUUCAGUGAAAAUAAUCAGAAAAUAGCUUUCCAAAAAAAAAAUGAUAAUAAUUGGACAAUUUUAGCAUAGAAAAAUUGGAACCAUGAAUAUUAUUACUUCAGAGAUUAUUCAUCACCAACAUUUCAUCUAGUAUUAAUAAUGAUAUUUGGAAUUGACAUCUCGAAACAUUAAAAAAGGCAAAAAUCGUUCAUCCCAUGACAUCCUUGUUUCAUUUAAUAGAAAUAUACCAUCUACUGACAACAUCUAUGUAGUAUAUCUUUUCUUUCAGAAAAAGUCAAAAUCAUAACCAUUCAAAAAGUCUUUUUAAUUAAGGAAUCACACACGCAUCACCAUUUUCUGCAUAAAGUCAAAAUGGUGAAGUGAGAUCAAGCCAUUGUUUUAAAAAUAAUUGAGCCAUUCUUCUUCCUCUAAGAUUCAUUUGUGUCCAUUAUAGGUUCCAUCCGANNNNNNNNNNNNNNNNNNNNNNNNNNNNNNNNNNNNNNNCCUUGACCUUGUGCUCCGAGGAUGCAUGCCGCUCAAUCCACCUUGGCCAUUCUCGCUCUAGAAUCAAUCCUCAAGACCUUUGUCUCAAUCCCCAGCAAUAGUGGUUAAUAGCGGUCCAAUACAAGUGCCCCCCUUGCCCCCCCCAACCCUCAUCGCUUCUUCCACGGUUAACUACUCUGGGUUCUAGAUUCUCUUGCUUGGCAGCUCCUUCUCACUCACAAUUUUAGUUAUGUAAAUCUUCUUUUUUUUUGAGGUAGUUGCUUCAUCAAUUUGUCAUCAGAUUUUGUUUGAAACAGCAUGGAUGAGUUCUUAAAUUAAUUCAUUUUAUUUUCUUGUUUCAGGAAUCAUGAUCAAUACUCUAUAGUUUGUACAUUGCUCUCUUUUGGAUUUGUAGGAAUAUUUUACAAUAUUCUUAUUUCACUCUUGUGCAUCAUUUAUAUUUCUAAUUAUUUAACUAGUGGUCAUAAUAUGCAUAUGUUUAUUUGUACCUAUAAAAUAAAAGUUUAGAUAUUUUUUCUAUACACUUAUAAAUUUAAUUUAUUUGUUUUUAUGAUUAAUAAUAAUUAAUACAUUUAUUAUAUGAUGCUGACAAUGCAGUUGUUUUGGAUUGGACCAAUGGUUGAACUCCGUGACCCAUAAGGCCAUAACCUUGUGCUUUUCCCAGUUCAAUCAAUGAGAUAGGUUUCGAAACAUUGUACGAACUACAAACAAUUCCAUGAUGAUCAGUGAUAAGACACUAAAGUCAUGCUAGAUAAGAAGGUAGAACUUUCAUCAUGUAUUUACACUUAAUUAAUAUAGAGAUGAUCAUGCACUCAAACUCAUUCAACUAAGGAUUGUUGCAUUGUAAUAUUACAGGAGGCUCAUAUCCAGUACUGAGCAUUUGCUGCAGUCAAGCAAUUUAAAAUACCUUUCUGUAUGUCUGUCUGUGUGUGUUUCUGCAUGCACAUACAUAGGAGUAUAUUAUAUACAGUUGUGCAUGCAUAUCUAAGUGGACGAUCUGAAUAAUAUUUGACAUAUAACAAGCAGCUAACACCACCAAUGUACUUACCCCUUCAAGACCAUUCCAAGGAUGUUUCCCUGUAUACAUCUCAAUAACUGUGCAACCCAAACUCCAUAUGUCAACAGCAAGAUCAUAACCAAUAUCUUUGUUCAUUGUAGCCUGCAACACCUGCAAAAGAAGAAAGGGCAAGUGAGUAUUCUAGAAAGAUAAAGGCAAUGUUUUAACAAAGGGAGGGGCCAGCACCUUAAACUUGAUAUGUUGAAGAGGAAAAAAAAAGAUGAGUACAAGGCUUUAAGCACAGAACACCAGAGUCUAGACAAGAGAAAGCAAUAAAGAAACAAGCAAAAAAAAGAAAGAAAAUUGCAGAAUAUACAAAUUACCCAAAAAACUAUUUUGGGCUUUGAUUUAUUGAAUUCUGAAUCCAAACUCUACAAGAGGUUAAGUGGAUGUCACUAUUGGCUUAUGCAAAAAAACCUUCCAUGCAACCUUCAUCCAUGGUAAUUAAGAUUUUCCCUCCUCUUUCUCAACCACUAUGCAAAAACCCAAGCCUCUCUUCUAAUUUACACAUGCCUGUAACCAAUACAGUUCUUUCACUGCCUCGUCUUGAGUAUAUCUGAACUAACAAAUUACUCCAAACUAGGUAUGGGUGCAAAGGCCCUUUCCAUGAAAAUAUUUUUCAGAUUAUAUCUUGUUAUAUGUUCUAGCGUAGGAUAUGCCUAAUAUGAUAGGGAAGCUUAAUUAGUCAUAAAAAUUUGGAGUACAAUCCUUCAUGCCAAAUAGCUUUUGUAAAUAAUAAAAAAAGAAAGCAUGCGUUAGCAUCAACAAAAUGCAUUACAAUUGACAAUAAACUAAAUCAGUUAAAGAUCUUCAAAAAAUAACACUGUCAUGGCCGGUCCCAAGCUUGAAUGAGAAAGGUGGAGGGUUGAUGUCAAGUUCCCAGCUAGUCAAAUAUCAAGAAGGAUGAAAAGGACCCAAUUUGGACCUGUAAAGCCUUCCCUAAAUAGUUGGGAAAAAGAUAGAUGGUUAUUUGUAUGGAUAAGGUUCUUCAGAAACAGAAACCUGAUGCUAUUCCUGUCAAGUCAAUCACUAGCAAUAAAAGAUGAUAAUAUACUAGGCAUGAUUAAGAAGCACCUCUGGAGCCAUCCAGUGUGGUGUCCCCUUAAGUGAAAGUACCGCUGCCGCUCCACUCAACUGUUCCAUAAUAAAAGUGAAUUAACAAAGUGCCGGUCAUAAUAGUAUACGUAAACAAACUUUUUAGCGAAAAAUGCAGAAAAUUAAAUGCAUGAUCAAAGUGGGAACAUAUGUUUCUUCAAUUGGGAUAAGUGUAAUUAUAAAAAAUUAAGAUAAAGAAUAAGGAAGGAGCAAAUAGGCACUCCACAGACUACGGUGGUAACACCAGCAUAGCACAGAAAAAACAAAAGCAGCUUCAUACUAUGAUGUGCAAUCGACGUAAACAAACAAAAAUCUUGCAGAUCAAUUUAUUCAGCUCCUAACAGAUGUCCUGUCAUAUGGAAUGAAAAGUCGGAGUGCCCAUGUGCAUUUGUAAUCUUUUUUUUUGGUACAGUGCAUUUGUAAUCUUUACCAACCCUAGCCCGUGAUUGCAUAGGGAUGUUAACAUGUUUAACCAAAGAGGGUUGGCAACCAUUGAAAUUUUGGUUCAAUACGCGUCAAUAUAACUCAAGCCAAACUGAAUCAGUGAGGCAAACUUCUUCAUAGACAUGUAGACUGAAUUUCACAUCAAUCAACUGAUCCAGGCCAUUCUUAUUAAAGAACAGAUCCUUCCAAUUUAGAUACAUGAACUUCCCUUCAAGGUCCACAGUACUAGAACCGACACCCGUGCCUGUAGGCCGGUGGUACGGUACACCACACCCCCAUGCCGUGCCAUUUUGGCGUGAAUCAAUACGGAAACCGGCAAGGGAGGGGGAGAGGGAGGAGUGAGGAAGAGAGAGAGGGAAGGAGGGAGAGGGAGUAAGGGAGGGAGAGUGCGGAGGAGGGAGGAAGGCAGAGGGAGGGGAGAGGGAGAAGGAAAGAAACGAAAAGGGAGAGUGGCGGAGGGAGGAAGGGAGAGGGAGAAGAAGGGAGGGAGAUGCUAGCAGAGCGCAAGAAAGGCGGAGGGAGGGAGGAGAGAGGGCUUCGAUCUCUCCUCCGCGCUGCCAGAAUAGAGGCUUCUACUCCUUUUAUAUAUCUUUUUUGAAUUUUUUUAGUAAAGUCAGGACUGUACAACCAACCUUGCCUCUCUUAGCAGCAAUAAAAUAUAGUGGACUGCAUAGUUAUCAGAAAAUGUGUCGUGAGUCCUACAUAAUGAUGGAAAAUCAUACAAUUCAGGUAUAGCAAGUAUGGCACGCGGUAUGCAUUAAAAUGCAUUUUUCCACCAUAUCAAGAUUAAAAUUUCAUUUCUAACAUCUUUCUCCAUUCUAAAGUUGACAUAGAAAAGAAUUGUUCUCAUUUUGUUCUCAUUUUGAUUUGGACAUCAUAUGCAUUUCAAUUUCUUCUCAGUUUAUUUUCUUCUGGUGCCUAGAAAUAUUGUAGAAGGUUCCUAUCGGGUUACAUACAUAUAUUUAAACUCGACGAGCAAACCUGUUUGAACUAUCGAAAUGGAAGUCUAUAGGGGUUGGUCCAUCCCAACCCACAAAUCCCCAAACCACGUGCAACCCAUUGACCUAGGCAGUCCAACCAAACAACCCACAAAAGUCAACGCAGUUUCAACCCUUCCAGACCAACUAUUAUAUAGGUGUUGAGAAAAACAUAAAAAGAUGAAAAAUUAGUUUACCACUUUACUCUUCAAGAUGAGGUUGGUCCCAUCCCUAACAAAAAACUUGCCAUCCCAAGUUACUUAAAGGGUAUGUUAGGUAAGAGAUAUCAAUGCAUAUCAUUUUUUAUUUUAUUUUAUUUUUUUACAAAAACAAGUUGUGAGAUUCUAUUGUUCUUAUAGAACAAAAGUUAUGUAAUAAAAUUGUUAUUAUGACUUUUAAUCCAUGUUUAUUCUCAUAUUUAAUUGUUAAAAAAAUAAAUUUUUAUUUAUUUUAUUCAUUUAUGAUGUCACAGGUCAAUGGAUCAACCCACAGUUGACCUGCUAUUGAACCGCUGGCCAGAAGCCAAGACACCAGAAGGCGUCAAUGUUUGAACUAGGUUUCUAAACAUGGUUCCAAAAUGUUUGGGGUUUCCUAUCCACCAAGCAACCUUCAAAACAUCACUCGAGGCCCUUCUCUUUCCUAAAGCUGCAGUAAUGAAGAAUUUGGGACCUUUUCACAAAGGUCAAUACCAGGCAGAGAGCUGGUCAAAAGGUUCUCAAACAAAUAUGGAUCAUAAGUUGAUCUACAAAGUGAAAAAUCCAAAGUAGAGUGAGAUAAGGCUUCUCAUGUUAAGGUUUAAGGCUAAGCCCCCAAGAAAAAAGAGCAUUGAUACCAGGUAGAGAGCUAAUCAAAAGGUCCUCAAACAAAAAUGAAUCAUAUUUUGAACUAGAAAGUAAAAAAAAAACUAAAAUGGAGUGACAUAAGGCUUCUCAUGUUAAGGUUUAAGGUUAAGCUAUCUAGAGAAAAGGUCAGUGAUACAAUUUCAGAAUCAAAUCUGGGGCAUGCAGAUAACUAUAAAUCCAACUUUGCCAAAUAACUUUUGUCCAGGAGACAAGUGAAUGCCCUUUAAAUUGGCCUUGAAUUAUCAGCCCCAAGUUUUUUUGACCAAUAAAAGAAAAGGUAGCACCCAAAUGAAUUUUGACUGAUGGAUAAUUUUCUUACCAAUCCGGAAAAAAAUUCUAAUUAAUAGAAAAGCAUUUUCACAAGAGCAUUUAAGGAACUGUAAAUCAGUAAAUAAACCUUCGCAUAUUUAUAGACAUAAUCAAGAAAUGAAACCAAAUGCAUAAAUUCCAAUGCUGUUAAUUAAUUAUGUUCCAACUAUCAAAGGAUUAAAUAAAUUGAUAACUGCCCAGAAAUUCAUUAUCCUGCAACCAAUAAUUUUUAGGAUAAUGAGAGACACAAGAAUACUAGUUUACAUUUUUCUCACUUUAUCAACAAAUUCAUUUCACCUGUCUUCAGAAUAAAAAUUUCAACAAAUAUUAAAAAAUCUAAAUGCCAACGAAUCAAUGACCCUAAGAAUGAGAGCCAGCAGUGUUUCAAAAAAACAGCCCAUAUGGCCACCUUGGCUGCCACAGGUAGGGACGUCUAGCUGCCUGCCUUAAGCUCUGGAGACAGCUACCUUAUCUGGGCCUUGACCCCAAUCAGUGACUACACACUGAACAGCCCUCGACUACCUGCCCACAUUCCCUGAAAACAAUGUGGUCCUGUACAAAAGUAUCUAUAUGCACAUGCAUGAGUCAAUGAAUUAAACAAGCAUAACCAAAUAACAAUCACCACAAUCUUUUUCUUUUAUGUUUAAAUGAUAGUAAACUCUCGAAUGAACUGGGACUUGUCCCAGUGGUCAUACCCCUUUGCACCACAACUAAAAGUAGAGGUUAAGUUACUCAGAAAAAAGUAGAGGGAAAAAUUUCAGAAUUAAGUAUGAGAUAUUCAUGACAAUAGUUUUGAGAACCAAACUUUAUUUCAAAGAAAGCAAUUGUAUGUAUGUUCAUAUGCAUGGGUAGCUAAAUAAAAAAUGCAUACACAAAAAAUUGCCACUAUGUUUUCCUUCUGACAUGAUUAUGAAUGGUGAUCAACACAUUAUUGUCUAUAAGGUAAUUCAAUGAAAAUGCAACAAGAUGUAUGCCCAAGAAACAUACAUUAGAAAAUAGAGAAAUAGCAAUACCAAUAGCAAGAGAGAGAGGGAUCAUGAUAUACAAGUAUAAUUGUGCCCUUUUAAAAUCCAAUAGUCACACUCACAUGUUUUGCCAUCCCAAAAUCAGCAAGCUUAACAACACCAUUCACAUCUACAAGCAAAUUUGCACCUUUAAUGUCCCUGCAAGAGUCGCACUAAUUUAUGAUACCAAAGUUUACCUCUAAAUUCAAUUAUUUGAAUAAAAACUUCAAUUUUACAAUGCAAGCAUAAUUGUAAAAACGAAAAUUUGUGAUUUCAAUGACUUAGCAUUAUCAUAUCAAGCAAGCAAAAGAAGGGGAUUAACAAAACAAUGUAGAUGAAGAGUACUUGUAAUUCAGAAAGAACAAAUAGGAACAAAGCACCAAAUAUAUUUAAGACUUUUUUUUGCAUGUCAACAUGGAAUAAAUCAAAAUGAGUUAUAAAUAUCCAUAUUCACCAGGGCUAUAUUUUCAAUAUGACAAGAUAAUCACAGAAAGACAAGUUUGUAUUGUAAGAUGCGCAUAUCCAACAAUCAGUGCAAGGUCACUGAUUGAGUUACCAGAAAUGGAGUGUCGUAGAGGCCAUGGAUCUAUUAUUGAUAGUUCCCUUAUCAAUAUAUACAAUUUUUCAUAUUACAUCUGACAAAUUCCAGCGCACAAUCACUCUCAUGAAAACACAUGGAACAAGCCAAAGUUUUAGCUUGAUCUUCAAGUCCAAUAUGAGGUUUUAGAAGUUGCAAGGAAUAAACUCACUGUCCAUGCUCCAGUGGGGGUUCAUAAUUUUGUCAAGGGGCUGAACGUGCCCGCCCGCUCUAAGGGUGCGCCGACCUGCUAGCGCUCCUAACAUAAUCCCUCAAGCCACCACAGCCUGAACCUAAUGGCAAACACCUCAGGCAACCCAGCUUAUAACUCCUCUCUGACAAGCUUUGACCAGCCACCCACCCAUAACCACUCAUUAUAGAUGCUCUCUCCUGCAGGAAUAGCAAACAUCCUUGUUUGGAUUGAACUAGAGCUUAGAAUUACAGGUUUCUGCUUGAUCUGACCCUGAUCAAGACCCAAAUUUCAGACAACAUUUUACAUUGAAAUCGAAUCCAGUUUUAAUUUAGUCAGCACAGACAUGACUCAGUUUAGCUGAAUUUUAGCCAAAACACUAUGCUUAGCAAAAAAUAUGUACUAAAAAGAUAUAACUACAUAUGUUUUCAAUUUAGUCAACCAAGAACUGACCAGGCUUUAACUUGAAUCUGAAGCCCUAAGGUAAGAACUGUCUUGUCUAAAUUUAUAGAACCACACAAUGCCUAGUGUUAACCCAGUUUUAAAGCCCUACAGUGAAGACCUGGAACAUUUGAAUUUGCAUAACUGGAAGUAAUCUGGUUUUAGAUUAAAACAAUAUUUUUCUUCCAGAAUAGUUUUGGACACAACUUCUACAUUGUCAGGAGUCAUUCUUUUAAAAGGUCAAACAAGGUCAGUACGAUGAGAUUUUGCCACUCCUACUCCCCUGCCAUUCCUUUCCCUCUCUUUACAGCAUCGGCCAGGGAUCACAUUAUAUACUUCGGCCUAAUUUGAGCCAGCUUCAAGCCUAAGCCGAAAAAUAACUUGAUCCAAGCUAGUUUGUUAUGACAAAGAUUAGCAAGAUUGAUACAAUCUAAGGAUGAUCUUCAAUUUGAUUCACUAACUCAGAAGAGGAGAUCAGAUAUGGAAAUCUAUUUCACUUGUUCUUCUACACUGAAGAUUUUAGCAUGCUGAUCAAUAAUUCCAGCAACUAUAAACCAUUUAAAACAUAUAAACUUUAUGCAUCCACAGUUAUUUCAAGAAAAUCCUCACUUCUGAUGACUAUUGUUAUUGCAAAAACAAGACUUAUAUCUCUUCAUUGAAGCUGCUCUCUGUACUCAAAUAUCAGCACAUAAAUAGUGGUAAUAUGAUAAGCUAGGAAGAAUAAGAUCACAAUCUAGAGUAUUCUGCCUCGUCCACUUUUCAAAUUCUGCUUCACACCAAUUUUCUGAGGCAAUGCUAUGAUGGAUUUGCUCCACUAGAGGGAGUAUUAGUAUCUCAUUAACAGCAUUAUUUGAUGAAGAAGAUGAAAAGCCCAAAUUUCCAUAUUUAAUUUCCAGAUAUCAACUUCAUGUCAAACAGCGGUGUACUCUAUCAUAAAUUGUACUCCAAACCUACUCCUAGACUUAAUCUAUUUUUAAAAUAAGGCAAUUUCAAUCUUCUUGAACCAAAGACAAUCACAGGCUUCCCAUUCUCAAAAUCACAAACCUCUAAUACUUGUCAAACCUUGUUAUAAUUAAUGCACAGCUAUUUCCAAACAAAACACUAUGAUCAUAACCACAAGCAUCCAACCUUAUCCCAACUAUUUGGGUUUGUCUUUUUGGAUACUUAUUCACCAAGCAUUCCUUUCUAGGGCCAUUUCAAAUUUUAUUUCAAGCUUUCCCUUAUAUUUUCUCACAAAUCACAAUCUUAUCCAUGUUACCUUAGAUCUUCCACUUCUUUCUUUGCAUCCUCCAACACAAAUUAAAGUGACUCUCUUUAUUGGAGCCCCCA